This 497-nucleotide ribosomal RNA is filed under the name uncultured bacterium. RNAcentral describes it as "partial 16S ribosomal RNA". It matches the Rfam family "Bacterial small subunit ribosomal RNA", at positions 28 to 507 of the family's 1533-position model. The record is from RNAcentral.
GAUGAACGCUGGCGGCGUGCCUAAUACAUGCAAGUCGAGCGAACAGACGAGGCGCUUGCUCCUCUGACGUUAGCGGCGGACGGGUGAGUAACACGUGGAUAACCUCCCUAUAAGACUGGGAUAACUUCGGGAAACCGGCGCUAAUACCGGAUAAUAUAUUGAACCGCAUGGUUCAAUAGUGAAAGACGGUUUUGCUGUCACUUAUAGAUGGAUCCGCGCCGCAUUAGCUAGUUGGUAAGGUAACGGCUUACCAAGGCAACGAUGCGUAGCCGACCUGAGAGGGUGAUCGGCCACACUGGAACUGAGACACGGUCCAGACUCCUACGGGAGGCAGCAGUAGGGAAUCUUCCGCAAAGGGCGAAAGCCUGACGGAGCAACGCCGCGUGAGUGAUGAAGGUCUUCGGAUCGUAAAACUCUGUUAUUAGGGAAGAACAAAUGUGUAAGUAACUAUGCACGUCUUGACGGUACCUAAUCAGAAAGCCACGGCUAACUACGUG